This 62-nucleotide transfer RNA is filed under the name Gyraulus convexiusculus. RNAcentral describes it as "partial tRNA-Leu". The record is from RNAcentral. Lineage: Eukaryota; Metazoa; Mollusca; Gastropoda; Planorbidae.
UCUUUUUGGCAGAUUUAUGCAUUUGAUUUAGAGUCAAACUAUAAUAAUACUAUUAAAAGGUA